ACCAUAGUCAUCAAAAUACCAUAGACAGCAACGGAUUUUAUUAAAUCUUAAUUAUGUUGCCGAGGCAUUAUUGAGAUAUAGAACAAUGACAUGUUUUUAUAUUAUUUA
Molecule: non-coding RNA, 108 nt
Organism: Spiroplasma kunkelii CR2-3x
Lineage: Bacteria; Bacillati; Mycoplasmatota; Mollicutes; Entomoplasmatales; Spiroplasmataceae
Source: Rfam